Humulus lupulus (European hop) is the source of this 411-nucleotide long non-coding RNA. RefSeq lists it as uncharacterized. The record is from RefSeq and is a predicted model, not a curated record. Lineage: Eukaryota; Viridiplantae; Streptophyta; Magnoliopsida; Rosales; Cannabaceae. The transcript is spliced from 3 exons.
GAGGGAUUUGAAUUUGCCAAAGUAGUGAUUCAGGAUUUGAAAAAUAGAGGCUAUUCUACAAUAGGUGCUGCAGGCUUUUGUUGGGGUGCCAAGGCUGCAAUUCAACUCGCAAAGUGCGACUCUAUUAAGGCUGCUGCCCUCUUACAUCAAUCUUACGUCACUGUGGAUGACAUCAAAGGUUCAGAUCACUUCCAGGACUUGUCAACCAGACCCAAAGGGAUAUCAUAGAAUGUGAGAAUUUUGUCUUCUGGACAAGUGCACAAAGAAUGAUGAAUUGAAGGAUGGAGCAAGUUUCAUGCAUGGUUUACUUUUGUGUAUCUUGUAAUGUUUUUGUUUUUCAUUUUUGAAGUAAAAAAUGUUCAAGAAACUUUAUUAUGUUAUGUUUUCAAACUUAAGUUAGAACUAAGAUCU